GAAAUGCGAUAAGUAAUGUGAAUUGCAGAAUCCAGUGAAUCAUCGAAUCUUUGAACGCACCUUGCGCUCCUUGGUAUUCCUUGGAGCAUGCCUGUUUGAGUAUCAUGAAAUCUUCAAAGUAAAUCUUUUGUUAACUCUAUUGGUUUCUACUUUGGUAUUGGAGGUCUUUGCAGCUUCACACCUGCUCCUCUUUGUUCAUUAGCUGGAUCUCAGUGUUAUGCUUGGUUCCACUCGGCGUGAUAAGUUAUCUAUCGCUGAGGACACUGUAAAAGGUGGCCAAGGUAAAUGCAGAUGAACCGCUUCUAAUAGUCCAUUGACUUGGACAAUACUUUUAUGAUCUGAUCUCAAAUCAGGUAGGACUACCCGCUGAACUUAAGC
Molecule: unclassified non-coding RNA, 378 nt
Filed under: plant metagenome
Description: partial contains 5.8S ribosomal RNA, internal transcribed spacer 2, and large subunit ribosomal RNA
Rfam family: 5.8S ribosomal RNA (bases 1-105)
Source: RNAcentral